RNAcentral lists this ribosomal RNA (492 nucleotides) under uncultured bacterium. RNAcentral describes it as "partial 16S ribosomal RNA". It matches the Rfam family "Bacterial small subunit ribosomal RNA", at positions 29 to 507 of the family's 1533-position model. The record is from RNAcentral.
AGUGAACGCUGGCGGUAGGCCUAACACAUGCAAGUCGAAUGGCAGCACAGUAAGAGCUUGCUCUUACGGGUGGCGAGUGGCGGACGGGUGAGGAAUACAUCGGAAUCUACUUUUUCGUGGGGGAUAACGUAGGGAAACUUACGCUAAUACCGCAUACGACCUACGGGUGAAAGCAGGGGAUCUUCGGACCUUGCGCGAUUGAAUGAGCCGAUGUCGGAUUAGCUAGUUGGCGGGGUAAAGGCCCACCAAGGCGACGAUCCGUAGCUGGUCUGAGAGGAUGAUCAGCCACACUGGAACUGAGACACGGUCCAGACUCCUACGGGAGGCAGCAGUGGGGAAUAUUGGACAAUGGGCGCAAGCCUGAUCCAGCCAUACCGCGUGGGUGAAGAAGGCCCUCGGGUUGUAAAGCCCUUUUGUUGGGAAAGAAAAGCAGCAGGUUAAUACCCCGCUGUUCUGACGGUACCCAAAGAAUAAGCACCGGCUAACUUCGUG